RNAcentral lists this ribosomal RNA (532 nucleotides) under uncultured fungus. RNAcentral's name for it is "eukaryotic LSU rRNA". The stretch from base 200 to 350 matches the Rfam family "5.8S ribosomal RNA". The record is from RNAcentral. Lineage: Eukaryota; Fungi.
AAGUCGUACAAGGUCUCCGUAGGUGAACCUGCGGAGGGAUCAUUACCGAGUGGAGGGCGCUCCGGCGCCCGACCUCCAACCCUUUUGAUUUGAUCAAGACCUCCUUCUGCUCGGGGCGACCGGCUUCGGCGGCGGUCCCCGGCGGUACCCAACUCAACCCUGCAUCAUUGUCGUCUGAGCAUUGAGCGAAUUCAAUCAAAACUUUCAACAACGGAUCUCUUGGUUCUGGCAUCGAUGAAGAACGCAGCGAAAUGCGAUAAGUAAUGUGAAUUGCAGAAUUCAGUGAAUCAUCGAAUCUUUGAACGCACAUUGCGCCCCUGGCAUCCGGGGGCAUGCCCGUUCGAGCGUCAUUACACCACUCAAGCCUGGCUUGGUAUUGGGCGGUCGGGAUGCACCCGCGCCUCUAUGUUUGUUCGGCUGGACGGUCUGAAUCUCAGCGUUGUGCAAUCAAUCGCUGUGGGACUGACUGGACGCGCGUGAAAAUCUCAUCACAGGUUGACCUCGGAUCGGGUAGGGAUACCGCUGAACUUAA